GUUCGAGCGGGCCGCGGAGACCGCGCGGGCGUUCGCCGCGGCCACCGAGCGGCAGCGGCUCGGCCGGGGUUCGGGGCCCGGGUUCGAGCU
RNAcentral lists this transfer RNA (90 nucleotides) under Streptomyces spinoverrucosus. RNAcentral describes it as "tRNA-Ala". The record is from RNAcentral. Lineage: Bacteria; Bacillati; Actinomycetota; Actinomycetes; Kitasatosporales; Streptomycetaceae.